Molecule: ribosomal RNA, 688 nt
Filed under: uncultured bacterium
Lineage: Bacteria
Description: bacterial SSU rRNA
Rfam family: Bacterial small subunit ribosomal RNA
Source: RNAcentral
AACACAUGCAAGUCGAGCGGUAAGGCCCUUCGGGGUACACGAGCGGCGAACGGGUGAGUAACACGUGGGUGAUCUGCCCUGCACUUCGGGAUAAGCCUGGGAAACUGGGUCUAAUACCGGAUAUGACCAAAGGCUGCAUGGUUUUUGGUGGAAAGGUUUACUGGUGCAGGAUGGGCCCGCGGCCUAUCAGCUUGUUGGUGGGGUAAUGGCCUACCAAGGCGACGACGGGUAGCCGACCUGAGAGGGUGACCGGCCACACUGGGACUGAGACACGGCCCAGACUCCUACGGGAGGCAGCAGUGGGGAAUAUUGCACAAUGGGCGAAAGCCUGAUGCAGCGACGCCGCGUGAGGGAUGACGGCCUUCGGGUUGUAAACCUCUUUCAGCAGGGACGAAGCGAAAGUGACGGUACCUGCAGAAGAAGCACCGGCCAACUACGUGCCAGCAGCCGCGGUAAUACGUAGGGUGCAAGCGUUGUCCGGAAUUACUGGGCGUAAAGAGCUCGUAGGCGGUUUGUCGCGUCGUCUGUGAAAACUCGAGGCUCAACCUCGAGCUUGCAGGCGAUACGGGCAGACUUGAGUACUGCAGGGGAGACCGGAAUUCCUGGUGUAGCGGUGAAAUGCGCAGAUAUCAGGAGGAACACCGGUGGCGAAGGCGGGUCUCUGGGCAGUAACUGACGCUGAGGAGCG